GAUGAACGCUGGCGGCGUGCCUAAUACAUGCAAGUCGAGCGAACGGACGAGAAGCUUGCUUCUCUGAUGUUAGCGGCGGACGGGUGAGUAACACGUGGAUAACCUACCUAUAAGACUGGGAUAACUUCGGGAAACCGGAGCUAAUACCGGAUAAUAUUUUGAACCGCAUGGUUCAAAAGUGAAAGACGGUCUUGCUGUCACUUAUAGAUGGAUCCGCGCUGCAUUAGCUAGUUGGUAAGGUAACGGCUUACCAAGGCAACGAUGCAUAGCCGACCUGAGAGGGUGAUCGGCCACACUGGAACUGAGACACGGUCCAGACUCCUACGGGAGGCAGCAGUAGGGAAUCUUCCGCAAUGGGCGAAAGCCUGACGGAGCAACGCCGCGUGAGUGAUGAAGGUCUUCGGAUCGUAAAACUCUGUUAUUAGGGAAGAACAUAUGUGUAAGUAACUGUGCACAUCUUGACGGUACCUAAGCAGAAGCCACGGCUAACUACGUG
Molecule: ribosomal RNA, 496 nt
Filed under: uncultured bacterium
Lineage: Bacteria
Description: partial 16S ribosomal RNA
Rfam family: Bacterial small subunit ribosomal RNA
Source: RNAcentral